GGCUCGAUGAUUACAUGCCUAAUCAGGCAAUAUACGCUAUUCUGAAAAUUGUUCUAUUAAUGUGGACAACCUUAGAUAGAUAUGAGAGCU
Molecule: small nucleolar RNA, 90 nt
Filed under: Macleaya cordata
Lineage: Eukaryota; Viridiplantae; Streptophyta; Magnoliopsida; Ranunculales; Papaveraceae
Description: Small nucleolar RNA U54
Rfam family: Small nucleolar RNA U54
About the family: U54 is a C/D box small nucleolar RNA, which acts as a methylation guide for 18S ribosomal RNA in plants.
Source: Rfam by way of RNAcentral